RNAcentral lists this ribosomal RNA (187 nucleotides) under uncultured bacterium. RNAcentral's name for it is "partial 16S ribosomal RNA". It matches the Rfam family "Bacterial small subunit ribosomal RNA", at positions 1309 to 1500 of the family's 1533-position model. The record is from RNAcentral.
AACCCGACUCCACGAAGCUGGAUUCGCUAGUAAUCGCGCAUCAGCCACGGCGCGGUGAAUACGUUCCCGGGCCUUGUACACACCGCCCGUCAAGCCAUGGGGAGCCGGGGGGUACCUGAAGUGCGUAACCGCGAGGAUCGCCCUAGGGUAAAACUGGUGACUGGGGGCUAAGUCGUAACAAGGUAGC